GAUGAACGCUGGCGGCGUGCCUAAUACAUGCAAGUCGAGCGAAGCGGGGACGGGUGAGUAACACGUGGAUAACCUCCUAUAAGACUGGGAUAACUACGGGAAACCGUAGCUAAACAGGAUACGUAUAGAUGGAUCCGCGCUGCAGUAGCUAGUGGGUAAGGUACAGGCUGACCAAGGCAACGAUGCAUAGCAGACCUGAGAGGGUUAUCGGCCACACUGGAACUGAGCCCCGGUCCAGACUCCUACGGGAGGCAGCAGUAGGGAAUCUUCCGCAAUGGGCGAAAUCCUGACGGAGCAACGCCGCGUGAGUGAUGAAGGUCUUCGGAUCGUAAAACUCUGUUAUUAGGGAAGCGGUACCUAAUCAGAAAGCCACGGCUAACUACGUGCCAGCAGCCGCGGUAAUUC
RNAcentral lists this ribosomal RNA (405 nucleotides) under uncultured bacterium. RNAcentral's name for it is "partial 16S ribosomal RNA". It matches the Rfam family "Bacterial small subunit ribosomal RNA", at positions 28 to 526 of the family's 1533-position model. The record is from RNAcentral.